GUAACAAGGUUUCCGUAGGUGAACCUGCGGAAGGAUCAUUACCGAGUGUAGGGUUCCUAGCGAGCCCAACCUCCCACCCGUGUUUACUGUACCUUAGUUGCUUCGGCGGGCCCGCCAUUCAUGGCCGCCGGGGGCUCUCAGCCCCGGGCCCGCGCCCGCCGGAGACACCACGAACUCUGUCUGAUCUAGUGAAGUCUGAGUUGAUUGUAUCGCAAUCAGUUAAAACUUUCAACAAUGGAUCUCUUGGUUCCGGCAUCGAUGAAGAACGCAGCGAAAUGCGAUAACUAGUGUGAAUUGCAGAAUUCCGUGAAUCAUCGAGUCUUUGAACGCACAUUGCGCCCCCUGGUAUUCCGGGGGGCAUGCCUGUCCGAGCGUCAUUGCUGCCCAUCAAGCACGGCUUGUGUGUUGGGUCGUCGUCCCCUCUCCGGGGGGGACGGGCCCCAAAGGCAGCGGCGGCACCGCGUCCGAUCCUCGAGCGUAUGGGGCUUUGUCACCCGCUCUGUAGGCCCGGCCGGCGCUUGCCGAACGCAAAUCAAUCUUUUCCAGGUUGACCUCGGAUCAGGU
This 564-nucleotide ribosomal RNA is filed under the name Aspergillus oryzae. Its description in RNAcentral is "eukaryotic LSU rRNA". The stretch from base 224 to 377 matches the Rfam family "5.8S ribosomal RNA". The record is from RNAcentral. Lineage: Eukaryota; Fungi; Ascomycota; Eurotiomycetes; Eurotiales; Aspergillaceae.